GAUUGAAAUUAUCCACCUCAGGUCACGUGCUUUGGCGAGAGUAGUAUUAGGAUGGGUGACCUUCUGGGAAGUCCUCGUGUUGCACCUC
This 88-nucleotide ribosomal RNA is filed under the name Vigna angularis (adzuki bean). The record is from RNAcentral. Lineage: Eukaryota; Viridiplantae; Streptophyta; Magnoliopsida; Fabales; Fabaceae.